Cinara cedri is the source of this 371-nucleotide non-coding RNA. The record is from the annotation of a GenBank genome assembly. NCBI's taxonomy places the organism in Eukaryota, Metazoa, Arthropoda, Insecta, Hemiptera, Aphididae.
AAAACGCAGUUCGCGAAAACAGGCACGCCAUGUAAACGUCGCUGAACGACCGAACAAUAUUAUAAUAUUACAAUAACAUUUGCGUUACGUUGAAUCAAAAGCUUCGGAUAUUAUACGCAAAUUUAUUAUUGUUUUGCUAUCAUAAUAUAUUAUGAACGUGCAGGACAUUUUCGACGCGUUCCCGUCUCGGCGUUAGUCCGGACGUUUUUUACGACCGGACAGAAAAAUAAAAUAAAAUACGCAGCCCGUGACGACGACCUGAUAAACGUUUAUAAUGCCGGGGCUCCGUUAGAUUUCCCACGUACGACGAACCGCAAAGCAUAUAGGCGAAUUCUGAGCCCCGACCCCGAUUUUAAAUAUAGGUAGGUAAU